This 262-nucleotide long non-coding RNA is filed under the name Ananas comosus (pineapple). RNAcentral's name for it is "long non-coding RNA (ACOM_LNC000631)". The record is from RNAcentral. Lineage: Eukaryota; Viridiplantae; Streptophyta; Magnoliopsida; Poales; Bromeliaceae.
UUUUCUUAUUAAAUAUUUUAUUAUAGAAAUAUUUAUUUGUAUAUAUCUUUAUAAUUCAUCAUUGAAUGAAUAAGAAGAAUUCAUAUUCUUUUCUUUAUGGUAUCAGAGCCAAACCCUAAUUCUAGGGUAUAGCCAUCCACUGAUGUCCUUCUUCCUCACCGGAUCUCAUCAGCGUUGCUCGUCCUCUUUUCUUUUCUCUGCCGCUACAGUACUGCUACAGUCAGCGCUACAGUACUGUUACAGUAUCAAUUCUGAUGCUAUA